This 434-nucleotide ribosomal RNA is filed under the name uncultured bacterium. RNAcentral describes it as "partial 16S ribosomal RNA". It matches the Rfam family "Bacterial small subunit ribosomal RNA", at positions 29 to 507 of the family's 1533-position model. The record is from RNAcentral.
AGCGAACGCUGGCGGCAGGCCUAACACAUGCAAGUCGAACGAACCUUUCGGGGUUAGUGGCGGACGGGUGAGUAACACGUGGGAACGUGCCCUUAGGUUCGGAAUAACUCAGGGAAACUUGUGCUAAUACCGAAUGUGCCCUUCGGGGGAAAGAUUAAUCGCCUUUAGAGCGGCCCGCGUCUGAUUAGCUAGUUGGUUGAGGUAAUGGCUCACCAAGGCGACGAUCAGUAGCUGGUCUGAGAGGAUGAUCAGCCACAUUGGGACUGAGACACGGCCCAAACUCCUACGGGAGGCAGCAGUGGGGAAUCGUGCGCAAUGGGCGAAAGCCUGACGCAGCCAUGCCGCGUGAAUGAUGAAGGUCUUAGGAUUGUAAAAUUCUUUCACCGGGGACGAUAAUGACGGUACCCGGAGAAGAAGCCCCGGCUAACUUCGUG